AUAAAUCUGCCACCGGGUAGGAAUUGCCAUGAGCAUUCGCUGCACAUCGUUAGGUCUUUGAAGAUGUGCAUCGGAUGUUUAUUUUUUU
RNAcentral lists this non-coding RNA (88 nucleotides) under unclassified sequences. The record is from RNAcentral.